UGAUCCAGAGGAGAUACCUGAGCUCUGAGCGUCAUGAAGCUGAACUCGACUGCUGCUCUUCUCUUUUCUCUGGCUUUUCUCUCACUGGUUCGCUGUCAGAGGCCUGUGAACUGUAGGUGGG
Molecule: long non-coding RNA, 121 nt
Organism: Nematolebias whitei (Rio pearlfish)
Lineage: Eukaryota; Metazoa; Chordata; Actinopteri; Cyprinodontiformes; Rivulidae
Exons: 3
Source: RefSeq, a predicted model, not a curated record